CGCCUACGGGGCGCAGCAGUAGGGAAUCUUCCACAAUGGGCGCAAGCCUGAUGGAGCAACACCGCGUGAGUGAAGAAGGGUUUCGGCUCGUAAAGCUCUCUUGUUGGAGGAGAACGUGCGUGAGAGUAACUGUUCACGCAGUGACGGUAUCCAACCAGGAAGUCACGGCUAACUACGUGCCAGCAGCCGCGGGAAUACGUAGGUGGCAAGCGAUAUCCGGAUUUUUUUGGCGUAAAGCGAGCGC
Molecule: ribosomal RNA, 244 nt
Filed under: uncultured bacterium
Lineage: Bacteria
Description: partial 16S ribosomal RNA
Rfam family: Bacterial small subunit ribosomal RNA
Source: RNAcentral